RNAcentral lists this ribosomal RNA (337 nucleotides) under Flectonotus fitzgeraldi (Mount Tucutche treefrog). RNAcentral's name for it is "partial 16S ribosomal RNA". The stretch from base 160 to 337 matches the Rfam family "Bacterial large subunit ribosomal RNA", at positions 566 to 833 of the family's 2925-position model. The record is from RNAcentral. Lineage: Eukaryota; Metazoa; Chordata; Amphibia; Anura; Hemiphractidae.
GCCAAACCCCUAGCCCUGUCACAACCAAUGAAGCCCUCCCACCACAACUUACCAACCGAAACAUCCUAACAAUAAAGUAGAGGCGAUCAAAAUAUUAAUAAGAGCUAUAUAUAAAGUACCGAAAGGGAACGGUGAAAUAAUAUGAAAACUUAAGCACAAAAAAGUAGAGAUUAUCCCUCGUACCUUUUGCAUCAUGGUUUAACUAGUACAAACAAGCAAAAAGGAUUAAAGUUUGUCGUCCCGAAACUAAGUGAGCUACUUCAGAGCAGCUUAACGAGCGAACCCGUCUCUGUUGCAAAAGAGUGGGAAGACUUUCAAGUAGAGGUGAUAUGCCUAA